CCCCUAUGUCCGAGUUUGUCCUGAUUUUCCAAACCCCCCUCCCCCCCCUCGGCUCGGACAUCCUUUGUGAAUGGCCCCAUAGCAAAUUGCCCGAUUUUUAAAAAAUCAUAGAAUCUACCCGAUCAACACUGAUAGGCUCCCUGUCCCGUACGCCUAUGGUUAGUGCCUAUAGGUUAUGUAGAUAGUCAAUAUAGAUAAUGUAUAGAAAACAAAAUAAACUUUUAGGCUAUGUUAUAUAUGCCUGGUCGUGAGCCGGGUAACAUUGUAGAUAGUGUUAUAUCAUCUAGUAGUGAUGUUUGGAAAUAUUAUGUAAUAGAACAUGUAAAUAAAAUAGUCUUGUUUUUAUGAAAGUAUGCAUGGGUCUGAGAUCGGAUCUUCGAGCCACGUACAACCACUGAUUCGAAAACUAUAGGACUGGCCAUGCACAGCUCACAGCGC
Molecule: non-coding RNA, 438 nt
Organism: Paramuricea clavata
Lineage: Eukaryota; Metazoa; Cnidaria; Anthozoa; Malacalcyonacea; Plexauridae
Source: the annotation of a GenBank genome assembly